UUAACAUGAGAGUUUGAUCCUGGCUCAGAAUCAACGCUGGCGGCGUGCCUAACACAUGCAAGUCGAACGCGAAAGUCCCGCAAGGGAUCAGUAGAGUGGCAAACGGGUGAGUAACACGUGGGUGACCUGCCUUCGAGUGGGGGAUAACGUCCCGAAAGGGACGCUAAUACCGCAUGACAUCCUGCCUUUGAAGAGGUGGAGAUCAAAGCUGGGGAUCGCAAGACCUAGCGCUCAAAGAGGGGCCCGCGCCUGAUUAGCUAGUUGGCGAGGUAACGGCUCACCAAGGCAACGAUCAGUAUCCGGCCUGAGAGGGCGGACGGACACACUGGGACUGAGACACGGCCCA
This 346-nucleotide ribosomal RNA is filed under the name Acidobacteriota bacterium. RNAcentral describes it as "bacterial SSU rRNA". It matches the Rfam family "Bacterial small subunit ribosomal RNA", at positions 1 to 333 of the family's 1533-position model. Lineage: Bacteria; Pseudomonadati; Acidobacteriota. The record is from RNAcentral.